CCUACGGGAGGCAGCAGUCGAGAAUCAUUCACAAUGGGGGAAACCCUGAUGGUGCGACGCCGCGUGGGGGAAUGAAGGUCUUCGGAUUGUAAACCCCUGUCAUGUGGGAGCAAAUUAAAAAGAUAGUACCACAAGAGGAAGAGACGGCUAACUCUGUGCCAGCAGCCGCGGUCAUACAGAGGUCUCAAGCGUUGUUCGGAGUCACUGGGCGUAAAGCGUGCGUAGGCUGUUUCGUAAGUCGUGUGUGAAAGGCGCGGGCUCAACCCGCGGACGGCACAUGAUACUGCGAGACUAGAGUAAUGGAGGGGGAAGCGGAAUUCUCGGUGUAGCAGUGAAAUGCGUAGAUAUCGAGAGGAACACUCGUGGCGAAGGCGGGUUCCUGGACAUUAACUGACGCUGAGGCACGAAGGCCAGGGGAGCGAAAGGGAUUAGAUACCCCAGUAGUC
RNAcentral lists this ribosomal RNA (446 nucleotides) under uncultured bacterium. Its description in RNAcentral is "partial 16S ribosomal RNA". It matches the Rfam family "Bacterial small subunit ribosomal RNA", at positions 338 to 795 of the family's 1533-position model. The record is from RNAcentral.